Molecule: transfer RNA, 72 nt
Filed under: Gelidiella fanii
Lineage: Eukaryota; Rhodophyta; Florideophyceae; Gelidiales; Gelidiellaceae
Description: tRNA-Gln
Rfam family: tRNA
About the family: Transfer RNA (tRNA) molecules are approximately 80 nucleotides in length. Their secondary structure includes four short double-helical elements and three loops (D, anti-codon, and T loops). Further hydrogen bonds mediate the characteristic L-shaped molecular structure. tRNAs have two regions of fundamental functional importance: the anti-codon, which is responsible for specific mRNA codon recognition, and the 3' end, to which the tRNAs corresponding amino acid is attached (by aminoacyl-tRNA synthetases). tRNAs cope with the degeneracy of the genetic code in two manners: having more than one tRNA (with a specific anti-codon) for a particular amino acid; and 'wobble' base-pairing, i.e. permitting non-standard base-pairing at the 3rd anti-codon position.
Source: RNAcentral
UGGUGCAUAGCCAAAUGGAAAGGCAAUAACUUUUGAUGUUAUCAUUUAAAGGUUCAAAUCCUUUUGCACCAG